GACGUAGGGCGCGAGCGUUGUCCGGAAUUAUUGGGCGUAAAGAGCUUGUAGGUGGCUCGUUGCGUCGGGAGUGAAAACCUGCGGCUUAACCGCAGGCCUGCUUCCGAUACGGGCGAGCUAGAGUUCGGCAGGGGAGACUGGAAUUCCUGGUGUAGCGGUGGAAUGCGCAGAUAUCAGGAGGAACACCGGUGGCGAAGGCGGGUCUCUGGGCCGAUACUGACACUGAGAAGCGAAAGCGUGGGGAGCGAACAGG
RNAcentral lists this ribosomal RNA (253 nucleotides) under uncultured bacterium. Its description in RNAcentral is "partial 16S ribosomal RNA". It matches the Rfam family "Bacterial small subunit ribosomal RNA", at positions 524 to 776 of the family's 1533-position model. The record is from RNAcentral.